Molecule: long non-coding RNA, 639 nt
Filed under: Brassica napus (rape)
Lineage: Eukaryota; Viridiplantae; Streptophyta; Magnoliopsida; Brassicales; Brassicaceae
Description: long non-coding RNA (BNAP_LNC010675)
Source: RNAcentral
AUCACCAAACAACUGGGCAUAAGUAGGUGCUGCUGGUUUCCUCCUAGAAGCCAUCUAAAAAAUAUAAAAAUAAAUUUAAUCAAUUACGACAUAAUUAAAAAAUUAUUUCUUUACCUAACUAAUCACCUAAACUAUAGUAUUUCGUCACCUAACUAAUCACCUAAACUAAUUACCUAACUAAUCACCUAAACUAAUUACCUAACUAAUUAAUCACCUAAACUAACUUUAAAAAAAAUAUAAGAGGAAAGGGAGUGUACCUUAGAGGGAGAGCAAAGGAAUUUUGGAGGAAUGAACGAGGCAGCCUCUCUCUCGGUGUCUCAAUAUAUAGAAAACGUUUCGUCGUAAACGCGACGUAAUAUUACGACGAAGUUACCAGGCCCGCGUUUUUCCAUUUACGACGAAGUUACCAGGCCCGCGUCUGUUUACGAUGAAAUUACGUCGAAUCGAUUUACCAGGCUUUUCCGUUUACGACGAAGUUACCAGGCCCAUCUUUUUUCAUUUACGACGAAAUUACGUCGAAUUGAUUUACCAGGCUUUUCCGUUUACGACGAAGUUACAAGGCCCGUCUUUUUCCAUUUACGACGAAAUUACGUGGAAUAACCAUUUACGACGAAGUUACCAUGCCCGUGUUAUUUUUAC